RNAcentral lists this ribosomal RNA (494 nucleotides) under uncultured bacterium. RNAcentral's name for it is "partial 16S ribosomal RNA". It matches the Rfam family "Bacterial small subunit ribosomal RNA", at positions 28 to 507 of the family's 1533-position model. The record is from RNAcentral.
GACGAACGCUGGCGGCGUGCUUAACACAUGCAAGUCGAACGGAAAGGCCUGCUUUCCCUUGUGGAUUGCGGGUACUCGAGUGGCGAACGGGUGAGCAACACGUGAGUGAUCUGCCCCCAACUUGGGUAUAAGCCUGGGAAACUGGGUCUAAUUCCCGAUAGGACUGCAGGGUGGUGCCUGUGGUGGAAAACGAUUUUCUAGUGGUUGGGGAUGAGCUCGCGGCCUAUCAGCUUGUUGGUGGGGUAAUGGCCUACCAAGGCGGCGACGGGUAGCCGGCCUGAGAGGGUGGACGGCCACAUUGGGACUGAGAUACGGCCCAGACUCCUACGGGAGGCAGCAGUGGGGAAUAUUGCACAAUGGGCGGAAGCCUGAUGCAGCGACGCCGCGUGGGGGAUGACGGCCUUCGGGUUGUAAACUCCUUUCGACCGCGAGGAAGCCACCUGGUUGGAAGGGUGGUGACGGUAGUGGUAGAAGAAGCACCGGCUAACUACGUG